CAGGAAAUAGUUUAGUUAGAAUUGUAGCUUUGGGGGUUAUUGGUGUAAGUGUUGAAUCUUACUUUCCUGA
RNAcentral lists this transfer RNA (70 nucleotides) under Linckia laevigata. RNAcentral describes it as "tRNA-Pro". The record is from RNAcentral. Lineage: Eukaryota; Metazoa; Echinodermata; Asteroidea; Valvatida; Ophidiasteridae.